This 81-nucleotide small nucleolar RNA is filed under the name Vulpes vulpes (red fox). RNAcentral's name for it is "Small nucleolar RNA SNORD20 (ENSVVUG00000004256.1)". The record is from RNAcentral. Lineage: Eukaryota; Metazoa; Chordata; Mammalia; Carnivora; Canidae.
AGAGAGAGAGAAAUAAAAGUAGCAGAAGGUGAUGAUGAAAUCUUAAGAAAAUUCCUCUAUGUAAGUCAAGUUCUGACCCAG